RNAcentral lists this ribosomal RNA (559 nucleotides) under Dothideomycetes sp. OTU38 TS-2013. Its description in RNAcentral is "eukaryotic LSU rRNA". It matches the Rfam family "Eukaryotic large subunit ribosomal RNA", at positions 62 to 648 of the family's 3401-position model. Lineage: Eukaryota; Fungi; Ascomycota; Dothideomycetes. The record is from RNAcentral.
AAACCAACAGGGAUUGCCUCAGUAACGGCGAGUGAAGCGGCAACAGCUCAAAUUUGAAACCUGGCAACAGUCCGGAUUGUAAUUUGCAGAGGAUGCUUCGGGGUCGGCCCUGGUCUAAGUGCCUUGGAACAGGUCGUCGCAGAGGGUGAGAGUCCCGUACGCGGCCGGGUGCCUUCUCCGUGUGAAGCUCCUUCGACGAGUCGAGUUGUUUGGGAAUGCAGCUCUAAAUGGGAGGUAUAUUUCUUCUAAAGCUAAAUACCGGCCAGAGACCGAUAGCGCACAAGUAGAGUGAUCGAAAGAUGAAAAGCACUUUGGAAAGAGAGUUAAAAAGUACGUGAAAUUGUUGAAAGGGAAGCGUUUGCGGCCAGACUUGACGGCGGUUGCUCAGCCGGGCUUUGCCCGGUGCACUCUUCCGCCGCCAGGCCAGCAUCAGUUCGGGUGGUCGGAUAAAGGCUUGGGGAACGUAGCUCCUCGGAGUGUUAUAGCCCCUCGCACAAUACGGCCUACCGGGACUGAGGACAGCGUUCGCUCGGAUGCUGGCGUAAUGGCAGCCAACGGC